Long non-coding RNA from Centropristis striata (black sea bass), 969 nucleotides. RefSeq lists it as uncharacterized. NCBI's taxonomy places the organism in Eukaryota, Metazoa, Chordata, Actinopteri, Perciformes, Serranidae. The record is from RefSeq and is a predicted model, not a curated record. The transcript has 2 exons.
UAUAACAUGAUAACAUAGCCUGUGUUUCUCAGGAGUGGUGAGGUGUUGAUGCAUGUCCAGGAUCCUGAUGGUUUUAUCCAGGUUUUAUUGAUGGUCAUUAGAGAACAUGGUGGGAGUGAAAGAGGGAGGCAGAGAAGAAGAAGUGUGGAGGUGGCAUGUUCUAUCACUCAUGCAUUUCUGUGUCAUCCUGAGUUAUGGAUGAAGGUUGUCGCAUUAAAAAGCAGCACUGUGUCUCAGCACGGCCACCUACACACCUCACAGUACAGAGGCAGAGUGAAACCAGAGGCUGUUUUUAGAACGGCCUUUUAUUGUGACCAGCCUGAGGCACACCUGUGUGCAAUCAUGCUGUUUAAUCAGAACCUUGAUUUGUCACACCUGUCAGCUGGAUGGAUUAUCUUGGUAGACUCACAGAUUCAAGCCUUGUUUGGAUGGAGACGAUCAAGACAGAAACCACAAAAGUGGCAUUGCGUUUUCACUUUUUAUGCCGCGUUUAAACAAGUGUCUUUUGGGGGAAAUCUGCGUGCAUAUGGUGACACAAAAGUCUAUGUAGUAUGCGCAGCAGGUGGCUAGGUGGUACUGUGAAGCACUGCCAAACAACACCACCAAGAGCUCACGCAUACGUUGACACUUCUCUCCUACUUCUCUUCCUUGAGCGAAAUAGAAUAGGAAUAAAAAAUGAUAAAAAGAAAAAAAAUGCCCAAGUCGAAGGCGUCCUGCAGCUCUUUGACCAGGUUGGCCUGUCCUGGCAGCCUGAAUAGGCCCUCCUCCCGAAGGCCCCAUUGCCGGAUGAAAUCCACACACUGCUCGACCAGCAUAGGGGCCAACUUGUUCCCGAACCGGCGUUCAUAUCGCACAGUUUCCUCCAACUUCUGACCAAAGAUCCCUGAAAAACACAAGAAAAAUUGUUUAAAGAUGGUAAAAGAUUGAUAAAUGGCAAUGCUUCAAUAAAUAAGCAUUGUUUUUACCCGA